Molecule: non-coding RNA, 46 nt
Organism: Schistosoma mattheei
Lineage: Eukaryota; Metazoa; Platyhelminthes; Trematoda; Strigeidida; Schistosomatidae
Source: Rfam
GCACUGCGGAGGAGUCCCAUACUAGGACGAAACGGCCGUCCAGUGC